This 21-nucleotide non-coding RNA is filed under the name Caenorhabditis elegans. The record is from RNAcentral. Lineage: Eukaryota; Metazoa; Nematoda; Chromadorea; Rhabditida; Rhabditidae.
UAACUUCUUCUAAAAUUAAAA